CCUACGGGGGGCAGCAGUGGGGAAUAUUGCACAAUGGGGGAAACCCUGAUGCAGCGACGCCGCGUGAGUGAAGAAGGAUUUCGGUUUGUAAAGCUCUAUCAGCAGGGAAGAAAAUGCCGGUACCUGAUUAAUAAGCCCCGGCCAACUACGGGCCCGCAGCCGCGGUAAUACGUAGGGGGCAAGCGUUAUCCGAAUUUACUGGGUGUAAAGGGAGCGUAGACGGCAGGACAAGUCUGGAGUGAAAUGCCGGGGCUUAACCCCGGAACUGCUUUGGAAACUGUGCAGCUAGAGUGCAGGAGAGGUGAGUGGAAUUCCUGGGGUAGCGGUGAAAUGCGUAGAUAUUAGGAGGAACACCAGUGGCGAAGGCGGCUUACUGGACUGUAACUGACGUUGAGGCUCGAAAGCGUGGGGAGCAAACAGGAUUAGAUACCCUAGUAGUC
This 440-nucleotide ribosomal RNA is filed under the name uncultured bacterium. RNAcentral describes it as "partial 16S ribosomal RNA". It matches the Rfam family "Bacterial small subunit ribosomal RNA", at positions 338 to 795 of the family's 1533-position model. The record is from RNAcentral.